This 808-nucleotide long non-coding RNA is filed under the name Mytilus galloprovincialis (Mediterranean mussel). Lineage: Eukaryota; Metazoa; Mollusca; Bivalvia; Mytilida; Mytilidae. The record is from RNAcentral.
UAAAUCACAAUUGCAAUUGUAUUAAAGUUCACAUAUAUCCAUGUGAUAUAGCAUUAGUUAAAGAUUCUCAUCCCUCUCUCAGAGUUAUUUGAGAGAUACUAUCUAUGUACAUUAUAUCACUAGUUAACACUGGGUUUACACUUUGUUUUGUGGUGAUCAAAGCUGAAUAUAUAUGUAAGGAAGAAGUAUAGUAUUAUUUUCUCUUAAUGGAACUUCAGCAUGAGGAAGGCAUUUCUACCUAUAAAAUGACCUAUUUGCAUGAAAACAAGAACUUUGUUUCAGGAAAGUUAUUCUUAACCACCCUUUUGUUUAGUUGAGGGACUUGCAAUGUAUCCAGCAUUUAAGAAUAAAUGUCUAUAUUCAACUUGUGUCCAUUAAAUUUGAUGUUUCAUAUGCAAAUGUAUUCAUACCAAAACUUAAAUGUAUACAUAUUGUAAGAGAUAAAGCAAUCAACAAUAAGUUUGACAGUUAAGUUUUGUAAUAUGGUUUGAUUAAUUAUAUUCAAAUUCAUUUGAUUAAAGUGACAAUUACUGUACACAUUGACAUUUGAUUUUUCAAAGUCUGUCUAUGGGUUAUUCAUUCUGAUGUAGUGCCCCAGAUAUUCCAUGGAUGUAAUAUGGCCAAUCAGAAUAGUAUCAGUGUAAUCACAAACAUUCACCCCUGUUUUAUAUGCAUUUAUAUUUGCUUACAAAAGCUAGAAAGUGUACCAUGUUUGUAUUAUAAAAAGAUUGAAUGUUAGGUUAAUCAUGUUCAGUAAAGUUUUAGAGGAUUGAAAUCUUUGAUUGUUUUAUACAAAAAGAUCUGACCA